This 464-nucleotide ribosomal RNA is filed under the name uncultured bacterium. RNAcentral describes it as "partial 16S ribosomal RNA". It matches the Rfam family "Bacterial small subunit ribosomal RNA", at positions 338 to 795 of the family's 1533-position model. The record is from RNAcentral.
CCUACGGGAGGCAGCAGUGAGGAAUAUUGGUCAAUGGGCGGGAGCCUGAACCAGCCAAGCCGCGUGAGGGAAGAAGGUCUUCGGAUCGUAAAGCUCUGUUGUAAGAGAAAAACGGGUAUCAUAGGGAAUGAUGAUAUCGUGAUGGUAUCUUACCAGAAAGCCACGGCUAACUACGUGCCAGCAGCCGCGGUAAUACGUAGGUGGCAAGCGUUAUCUGGAAUGAUUGGGCGUAAAGGGUGCGUAGGCGGCAAAAUAAGUCUGAAGUAAAAGGCGUUGGCUCAACCAACGUAAGCUUUGGAAACUGUUAAGCGAGCGUGCAGGAGAGGUUAGUGGAAUUCCAUGUGUAGCGGUAAAAUGCGUAGAUAUAUGGAGGAACACCAGUGGCGAAGGCGGCUAACUGGCCUGUAACGGACGCUGAGGCACGAAAGCGUGGGGAGCAAAUAGGAUUAGAUACCCUAGUAGUC